RNA transcript from Xiphias gladius (swordfish), 2446 nucleotides. It is a transcript of the gene named solute carrier family 35 member F2-like, with no coding region annotated. The record is from RefSeq and is a predicted model, not a curated record. The transcript is spliced from 10 exons. Lineage: Eukaryota; Metazoa; Chordata; Actinopteri; Istiophoriformes; Xiphiidae.
GGGAGAUUAGAGAGGCACAUGACAUUCCCGUGGGGAUUUGGUACCUGUCCUGCCUGGGUAGUCUGAUGAAGACAUGAAGUGUUUAGGUCUAAAAGGAAAUGGAAGGGCGUGUAGAGGAGAGACUGUGUGGGAAGUUGAGGGUUGCCUGUGGUUUGCCGAGCUACAACUUCAGGGAUGUCUUCACAUGAAGGAGAGUCACACACCGCCUCCUUCAAAUCUCCUCAGGCGUCUGCUGAAGACUGUAGUCAUGGGCCAGGUCUUGUCCCUGCUGAUCUGUGGGACAGCAGUGAGCUGCCAGUACCUGGCCAAUGCCAGGAUAGAGACGCCCAUGCUGCAGAGUUUCCUCAACUACGUCCUGCUGCUGCUCGUCUACACGACCAUCCUCAUCACACGAAAAGGUGAAAGAAACAUCGUACAAAUUUUAAAAACCAAGUGGUGGAAGUAUUUGGUGAUGGGUCUGGCAGAUGUGGAGGCAAACUACGCAGUUGUGAAGGCCUACCAGUUCACCACCCUGACAAGUAUCCAGCUGCUGGACUGCUUUGUGAUCCCAGUGUUGAUGCUGCUCUCCUGGUCCUUCCUGAAGACUCGCUACAGGCUGGUCCACUUUGUAGCUGUAUUAGUGUGUUUGUUGGGGGUGGGAGCCAUGGUAGGGGCCGACAUUCUGGCCGGAAGACACCAGGGGUCCAGUAAGGACACCAGUGAUGUUGUGCUGGGUGACGGUUUGGUCCUACUCAGUGCCGUCCUCUAUGCUGUAUCCAACAUGUGCCAGGAGCACACCGUGAAGAACUUGAGCCGAGUCGAGUUCCUGGGCAUGAUGGGCCUCUUUGGGACCCUCACCAGUGGCAUACAGCUGGCUGUACUGGAAACCCACGCAGUAGCGGCAAUAACGUGGGACCUUCGCGUUUCCAUGCUGUUUGCAGUCUAUGCCUUGUGUAUGUAUGCACUGUACAGCUUCAUGCCCGUAGUCGUGAAAAUGACCAGCGCUACUGCGGUCAACCUCUCCCUGCUCACCGCCGACCUCUUCAGCCUCUUCUGCGGCCUCUUCCUCUUCCACUACACAUUUUCAGCCCUGUACAUCAUCUCGUUUGUCCUCAUCACGGUGGGCUUUAUCAUGUUCAACGCCGUUCCCACGUACGCCGCUUUACCUGAGGACGGGUCGGCAGAGGUGUUUGUCGAUCAGCCAGCUGAGAGCUCCUCAGACCACCUGCUGGCAGCAGACAGAGACACUCAGAGAACUGAGGCGCUCACUGCCGUUGCGUCACUAUGACUGAAACUGAGUGAAGACAGACGAUAAAGGCAGCUAGACUGCAGAACUCGGAGGUCUUCCUGGGUGAAGAGAUUUUAUUUUAUUUAUGCAGAUUACACAAAAACUACUGCACCGAUUUGCACCAAACUUGUUGGAGGGAUGGGGCUGGGCCCAGGGGAAGGACCCAGAAGCUUUUGGGGAAGAUCUGGAUAGAUUUCCAUGAAUUUGAAUUUUUUCCUGUGAAGUCUGGUGUAUGUUGUCUAUGUUGGCCUUGGUGGAGGUCUGCGAUCUCUGAGUGUAUUUUCUAGUUUUACAUAGAGCGACGACUACAAGGCUGCCUCAGUGCUGCACUAGAUGAGUGUGCUAUUCAUUUAGCCAAGCACAAAUGUAAUGUGUGUUUAUUCUACAUAUUACAGGGACUAAUUUAACGAGGGUGCAUGUACAUAGAGCAAGUAAUAAAUUGAAAAUAUGACGGAUAUGAUUUCACAUGGGACACAACAAAGUAUAUUAGGCUAUUUAUUCAGUACAGGCAGAAUAAUACAUAAUAUUUCUACUUGGACAAAAUAAUUUUAACCAAAGCACACUAACUAGUUUCUUCCAGUUUCGACCCCAUUUCACGGUCUUCAUCAGUGGAUGGUGUAAAUUCCAUUCACUAGCACUUGUCACUUCAGCAGAGUUAUUAUUUAACUCAUGCAGUUGUAUGCUAAAGUGAGUGGGCAGAAUCAUAUUUUUUUAAAUAUUUUUUUCAGACAUUAAAUAAGAGCUGUUCUUCAAAUGUUAAUGCAUUGUUACUUUUUAUUUCACGAACUAAACAAAAUGGAAAAGAAACAGUAAAUGUGGCACAUGCAGCGGUUUGGGCAAACCACUAAGUCGGUACACAGGCUGCGAGAUGUGAUAUGUGCCAAAUUUCGAACAGGACACUAGUUUUUCGUUCUACCUGAGUAACAUUAAAUCUUGUUUUCUGUUACAAUUACACCCAUCCAACGGAUAUUUUCCACUUUAUAUCUGGCGAAGAAAACUGCUUACUAAAUGGUGAGUUUGUAUUUUGAACAUCCUUCCUGUAACGAGUUAUAUGAAUGCAGAUCUGCCGCUUACUGUAUGCUUUUUUGUUUUUUUUCACACCAUUCUGAGUAAACUCCAUUAGUAGUUUCAGAAACACUCAAACCAGCCCAUCCGGCACCGAUCAUGCCGCAGUCAAAG